Molecule: long non-coding RNA, 1412 nt
Organism: Cyprinus carpio (common carp)
Lineage: Eukaryota; Metazoa; Chordata; Actinopteri; Cypriniformes; Cyprinidae
Source: Ensembl
AAGAUUUGUUUGUUUGUCAACUUGUAGUUAGUUAUUUCUGUUAUAUUUCAACCUAGAUGAUAACGUGGCAAAAUAUACAUCAAUAUGCCGUGCUCGACACAAUCAGAUAAAGAGGCUGUCUUGCUCGGAGAUUGUGCUCAACAAUAUUGGUUUGAAUGGAUUACCGAAUGACUCCAUGAGCAAGUCUUGCGAUGACCUGUCAGCAAAAAUCAGAGUUCGGAUUCAGCAACAGAAUGAAGUAAAUUACAUUCCUGAACCAAGAACCCCAAGUGAACUGAAAGACCAGAGCCCAAGCAGCAGCCCUCCAGAAAAUUUCAGUCCUCCAGUCUACCGCAUCAUGCCCAGUGUCUCUUUGCAAAAGCAGGACUCAGAGGUUCAUUCCACCACCUCGUCUAUAAGAGGUAAACAGUGAAGCUCUCUCUGGUUUUAGUGAUAAAGUUUGACAUUGACUUUUAAUGAUUAGCUGAUAUUUCUAUGAUGAGAUCUAUGACCUUAUGAGAGCUGAUUAUAAACAACAUUUCAACUUAAUAACAUGCAACAUUAAAGUUAUUCUCAAUAUAACAUGAGAAAGUGGAUAUGUAAUUUGUAUUAUUUAUUAUAUUUUAUCUUUUUUAUAUAAUCUGUUUUUAUUUCUUUUUUUAGUGGACACACCCACAAGAACAACCCCAGAGAGAGAAAUCAUCUGUGUUACUUUAAAGAAGGAUCCAAAACUUGGUUUCGGUGAGUGAAAAUGAACAUGCAUCUUUUUUAUAACGUUGAGCUUUUGAAUGCUGAUGUAUCACUUUUGAUGAAAAGGGUUUGUAAUAGUCGGUGAGGACAACACAGGGAAGUUUGAUCUGGGAAUUUUCAUAGCAUCCAUCGUUCCCGACGGGCCAGCUGAUAGGGACGGCAGAAUCAGACCCGGUAAAACCCUGAACAUUUUCCCUCUUUUAUGCCACAAAAAAAAAAGAAAUGAAAAAGAUUUAUUUUCUUUUGUUUGUGUUUAGGUGGUCGGCUGAUCUCUCUGAAUAAGAUCAGUCUAGAAGGGGUGACAUUUAAUAUAGCUGCUGCCAUACUGCAGAGCAGCCCAAAUGAAGUGGAGCUCAUAGUGUCCCAACCCAAACGUAUGUCUUCAUAUUGUACCAGUUAUUUACAUAUGAUCUGUCUUCAUACUUUCACUUUUAAAAAUGAACUGUGCACAUUUUAAUAUUAAAAUACAUUCUCCUAUCCUAGCAGUAAGACAUUACUGUAUAUCUAUAUUUUUGUAAUUAUGGUACAUUUGGUGGUAGGAAUUACACAUUUAAAAUGUUUUCAUUUUUUGUUCCUGAGUAGAGGACCUCCGGGACAGUAAGACGUCACUGGCUACAAGUAAUUUAGGGAUGAUGCUGGAAAGAGGCUUUGGCUCUCAAAGCACCCUGAGUGCAGAGUACAGG